This 689-nucleotide ribosomal RNA is filed under the name Alloglossidium geminum. RNAcentral describes it as "eukaryotic LSU rRNA". The stretch from base 326 to 689 matches the Rfam family "Eukaryotic large subunit ribosomal RNA", at positions 1 to 335 of the family's 3401-position model. Lineage: Eukaryota; Metazoa; Platyhelminthes; Trematoda; Plagiorchiida; Alloglossidiidae. The record is from RNAcentral.
UGCUUUGAACAUCGACAUCUUGAACGCACAUUGCGGCCAUGGGCUAGCUCAUGGCCACGCCUGUCCGAGGGUCGGCUUAUAAACUAUCACGACGCCCAAAAAGUCGUGGCUUGGGUCUUGCCAGCUGACGUGAUUUCCCUAUUUGUGCAAACGAACGGGGUGUCAGAUCUAUGGCGUUUCCCUAAUAAUUCCAGUUACAACUCCUUUUGGCUGAAGGCCAUAUUGGAGGGUGAUUGUGGAGUCGUGGCUCAAUGGUAAUGUUUGUGCGCGCUCUGCAUGUUCACCGCUGUAUCUGUCUAAUGUGAAAUGCUUUUCGCAUUUUACCUGACCUCGGAUCAGACGUGAAUACCCGCUGAACUUAAGCAUAUCACUAAGCGGAGGAAAAGAAACUAACAAGGAUUCCCUCAGUAACGGCGAGUGAACAGGGAAAAGCCCAGCACCGAAGCCUGUGGCCAUUUGGUCAUUAGGCAAUGUGGUGUUUAGGUCGUUCCGCAGAGGUUCUGCUCCACCCUAAGUCCAUCAAUGAGUACGGUAGUAUGGACAUGGCCCAUUGAGGGUGAAAGGCCCGUGGGGGUGGAGGCAUCGAAAGGCCAGAGCCUCUCUGGGUAGACCUUGGAGUCGGGUUGUUUGUGAAUGCAGCCCAAAGUGGGUGGUAAACUCCAUCCAAGGCUAAAUACUAGCACGAGUCC